GCCGCAGUAGCUCAGUGGUAGAGCGCACCCUUGGUAAGGGUGAGGUCGGAAGUUCAAUCCUUCUCUGCGGCACCA
Molecule: transfer RNA, 75 nt
Filed under: Alphaproteobacteria bacterium
Lineage: Bacteria; Pseudomonadati; Pseudomonadota; Alphaproteobacteria
Description: tRNA-Thr
Rfam family: tRNA
About the family: Transfer RNA (tRNA) molecules are approximately 80 nucleotides in length. Their secondary structure includes four short double-helical elements and three loops (D, anti-codon, and T loops).
Source: RNAcentral